This 422-nucleotide ribosomal RNA is filed under the name uncultured bacterium. RNAcentral's name for it is "bacterial SSU rRNA". It matches the Rfam family "Bacterial small subunit ribosomal RNA", at positions 355 to 774 of the family's 1533-position model. The record is from RNAcentral.
UGAGGAAUAUUGGGCAAUGCCCGCAAGGGUGACCCAGCAACGCCGCGUGGAGGAUGAAUGUCGUAAGAUUGUAAACUCCUGUUAGAGGGGAAGAAUAGUACCGGUUGGACCGGUAUAUGACUGUACCCUCAGAGAAAGCCCCGGCUAACUACGUGCCAGCAGCCGCGGUAAUACGUAGGGGGCAAGCGUUUUCCGGAUUUACUGGGUGUAAAGGGCGCGCAGGCGGGAUAAAAAGUCAGUGGUGAAAUCCUACAGCUUAACUGUAGAGCUGCCUUUGAUACUUUUAUUCUUGAGUUCGGGAGAGAGAGACGGAAUUCCAGGUGUAGUGGUGAAAUACGUAGAUAUCUGGAAGAACACCAGUUGCGAAGGCGGUCUCUUGGUCCGACACUGACGCUGAGGCGCGAAAGCGUGGGGAGCAAACA